GCAGCCCCGCUCUGGAUGUGUGAUCUUGGUCGUAUCCGCGCAAAUGCUCAAUGAUUAUGACUAGAGACACAUUCAGCUUGGGGCCGGC
Non-coding RNA from Pristionchus pacificus, 88 nucleotides. The record is from Rfam. NCBI's taxonomy places the organism in Eukaryota, Metazoa, Nematoda, Chromadorea, Rhabditida, Neodiplogasteridae.